Molecule: unclassified non-coding RNA, 1560 nt
Filed under: Hevea brasiliensis (rubber tree)
Lineage: Eukaryota; Viridiplantae; Streptophyta; Magnoliopsida; Malpighiales; Euphorbiaceae
Source: RNAcentral
AAGUAAACACUUUUUUUAAUUGCAGCAUUACAUUAACAAGCUUAGAAGGAAAUGAAGCCCAAGCCUAGCAACAUAUAAGAAGCCCAAACCCUAAGAGAACAAAAGAUCAAACGACUAGGAGCCUUGACUUGCGGCAGCCGAAACUCACUGAAAGGCGUAAAACUAAAGUUUCCUCAGCAAAUAAGAAACUUGCCUGCAAACCAAAAAAAUCACUGCCUAUAAACAUCGAACCGAACAAAUCGCUGAAGCUUACGACACGUUAGUUAGAUACCAACAUCAACUGCAGCAAUCCCAACGGGUGGGGGUAGAGAUCAUGACCUCUCAAUCCCGUAUAGCCUUGAGGAGGAGGGCAGCAUCCAUUGAAUGAGCCUAGCUUAACAACCACAAAUACCUACCAACACACAUGCAAAUAAUCCUCCAAGAGGAUCAAGGCCACCAUCCACAAGUGGUACAACUCCGACAAACCAAUGUCACUGCAUAGAUCAAUUAAAAGUUCUCUCUCUUUGCUCCAGAUCUGCUGCAGAAACCAAAACCAAGCAAAACCCUAUUUACUCCCAAACCUAGAUGGGGGCGAGCGACUCACACUCUAGAUUGGGACGAGCGACGAGUAGGGAAAGCUAACUAAUCGAGAAUAGAAAAUGCUAUUGAUGAGUAGUGUAGUCGGAGGUCUCAAAUUUGACCUCCCAAUUGUAUUAAAAAAUAAAUAAACAAACAAAUAAAAACCAUCUUCCCAUUGAAGUAAUGCACAAAUUAGCCAUCCAAUGAUCCCAUUUGAUGUCUAUUUAUGAUAAAAGAUACAACAGAACUAGAAUUUAAACAGCAGAUGAUGUUUAUGAAGGUGACAGUCACAGAAAUGCAAAAUUAUUGCUUAAAUUUCAGCUUGCAGCAGAUCUUCUACGUUGCAAAUCAUUAGCCCUAUGCUUUGGCAAACUAUCAGAAUCCAUAUCCGAAAAGGAUGAAUAUGAUGCAUAUACUUUCUUCUGUGAUCCAAAACAAGUCCUGUAGUUCCUGCAAGCAUGCUUCGCUGCUUUCCAACAGAUCUUGCACGGUAGUUUGAUGCAGCACAAAACAAUGCAAAGAGGACAAGAAACACAGAAUAAACAAGCACUGCAAGUAUACUCUACAGUUUUAUAGUAGCAGUGUGUGUCUUGCUCCUUAGACAAAGAGGAAGAACAGGAAUUGGAGCAAGGCCUUGCCUCCAUUCUGUCAUAUCUCUUGUCGAAGAAAUUUAUCUUUGCUUCAUCUCAAAGGAUUAAGAGUUGAAACCUUCUGCUCUCCAGUAUUAAUGCUGGGAUAACUUCAAAAGGGGAUUUGACGGGCUGUGUCUUUUUCAAGAAAUUACAAGGUUUCAAUAUUAACAAAUUCAGGAUGCUGUAGUUAUGGCGAUGAACACUGCAGAUCCAUCUUCCUGAGAAAACUUUGAAGGAUUAGUUUUGUAGACCUUAGCAACUAGCUUUCAUCUUUACUCUCCUUUUGGACCUCUUUCCGACGACUUUUCAUCAACUUGGAACCUGAGAAGGAAUAUGCCUUGGAAGUCUUCUGCUAGAAUUUUUAGUACCG